CAUUUAAUUGAUGACUUGUAUGAAGGAUUGGAUGAAAUAUAAACUGUCUCUUAAUUAUAUUUAGAAUUUAAUUUUUUAAUUAAAAAGUUAAAAUGAAUUAAAAAGACGAGAAGACCCUAUAGAGUUUUAUAAUUAAAUUAAUUGAGAUUUUUUGUAAGAUUAAAAUUAAAAUUAAUUUAUUUAUUUUGUUGGGGUGACAGAAAAAUAUGGAGAACUUUUUUUAUAAUAUUACAUAAAUAAGUGGUUAAAUGAUCCAAUAUUAUUGAUUAUAAGAAAAAAUUACCUUAGGGAUAACAGCGUAAUUUUUUUUUUUAGUUCAUAUAAAAAAAAAAGUUUGCGACCUCGAUGUUGGAUUAAGAUAAAAUUUAAAUGCAGAAG
RNAcentral lists this ribosomal RNA (378 nucleotides) under Sesamia calamistis. Its description in RNAcentral is "partial 16S large subunit ribosomal RNA". The record is from RNAcentral. Lineage: Eukaryota; Metazoa; Arthropoda; Insecta; Lepidoptera; Noctuidae.